CAAAUAAACAGUCGAAAACUA
This 21-nucleotide non-coding RNA is filed under the name Caenorhabditis elegans. The record is from RNAcentral. Lineage: Eukaryota; Metazoa; Nematoda; Chromadorea; Rhabditida; Rhabditidae.